Long non-coding RNA from Gallus gallus (chicken), 546 nucleotides. RefSeq lists it as uncharacterized. NCBI's taxonomy places the organism in Eukaryota, Metazoa, Chordata, Aves, Galliformes, Phasianidae. The record is from RefSeq and is a predicted model, not a curated record. The transcript is spliced from 4 exons.
AUGACAGCAGCGGAAGCGCUCCGGAGCGGAAGCUACGUCAGCGAGCGGGUGCGGAAGCGGAAGUGCUGGCUCCCACGCCAGCAGCAUCCUACUAAAAAAGAUCUCCUAAAUCCUCAAACGCUCUGUGCUUUACAAAGCCCUGAAAUAGGUCUCUGUUCAACCAGCUGCACCAGGCACAGGCACAGCCUGAUCAAGACUAUUCAACCCCCCUUCUUUAAAUUCAACAACAGUCUGGGUGUCUCUGCCCUUUCGAAGCAGUGAAUUCUGCUGGCUCGGAGGAGGAAGAAAUUCUUCUCUUGUCCAAACGACUGCUUAUUCUUUUGACAUAGGAUAAUGCAGAAAGGAAGGGCUGACAUUUUUGUUAUUAGAUCUGUUUGGGGAGGAUACAGAAUCUCUUCUCAGAAUGGCACCCUGGCUGUGCUAGGCACUGUAUGUACACAGAAGUGAGGACAAGUCUCUGCCUUGAAAAUCUCACCCUUUUCAAAACCAAAACCACAAAAGAUGCAGGGGGAAAAAUGGUUCUGUAAAUAAACAAGAUGAUUAUAA